Molecule: ribosomal RNA, 421 nt
Filed under: uncultured bacterium
Lineage: Bacteria
Description: partial 16S ribosomal RNA
Rfam family: Bacterial small subunit ribosomal RNA
Source: RNAcentral
AAUAUUGGACAAUGGGGGCAACCCUGAUCCAGCCAUGCCGCGUGUGUGAAGAAGGUCUUCGGAUUGUAAAGCACUUUAAGUUGGGAAGAAGGGCUGUAGGUUAAUACCCUGAAGUUUGGACGUUACCAACAGAAUAAGCACCGGCUAACUCUGUGCCAGCAGCCGCGGUAAUACCGCAGGUGAAAGCGUUAAUCGGAAUUACUGGUCGUAAAGCGCGCGGAGGUGGGUCAGUAAGAUGGGUGUGAAAUCCCCGGGCUUAACCUGGGAACUGCUUUCAUAACUGCUGAGCUAGAGUACGGUAGAGGGUAGUGGAAUUUCCUGUGUAGCGGUGAAAUGCGUAGAUAUAGGAAGGAACACCAGUGGCGAAGGCGACUACCUGGACUGAUACUGACACUGAGGUGCGAAAGCGUGGGGAGCAAAC